UUGUCUCAAAGAUUAAGCCAUGCAUGUCUAAGUACAAACCAAAUUAAGGUGAAACCGCGAAAGGCUCAUUAAAUCAGUUAUGGUUCCUUAGAUCGUACCCACAUUUACUUGGAUAACUGUGGUAAUUCUAGAGCUAAUACAUGCUAAGCGAGCCCCGACCUCACAGGGAAGGGGUGCUUUUAUUAGAUCAGAACCAAUCGGCACGCUCCUCCGGGGGUGUGCCGCAAACACUGGUGAAUCUGAAUAACUUUUGCUGAUCGCACGGCCUCGCGCCGGCGACGCAUCUUUCAAAUGUCUGCCUUAUCAACUUUCGAUGGUAGGUUCUGCGCCUACCAUGGUUGUAACGGGUAACGGGGAAUCAGGGUUCGAUUCCGGAGAGGGAGCCUGAGAAACGGCUACCACAUCCAAGGAAGGCAGCAGGCGCGCAAAUUACCCACUCCCGGCACGGGGAGGUAGUGACGAAAAAUAACGAUACGGGACUCAUCCGAGGCCCCGUAAUCGGAAUGAGUACACUUUAAAUCCUUCAACGAGGAUCAAUUGGAGGGCAAGUCUGGUGCCAGCAGCCGCGGUAAUUCCAGCUCCAAUAGCGUAUAUUAAAGUUGUUGCGGUUAAAAAGCUCGUAGUUGAAUUUGUGUCCCGCGCCGCCGGUACGCCGCUCGCGGCGCUAACUGGCGUGCGGUGGGACGUCCAGCCGGUGGACCGUGACCGGGUGCAGUGCGGGUCGUGCGUAACGGGUGGGUGUCGCUACCGGCAUGUUGGUAUCUCGCGCAGAUGCGUGUAUCGCGGGCGCGCCUUGCGGCGUGAUCUGCGGCACCAUCUCGUGCGGGUGCUGCUGCCGCGUCCAGCGCCCUACUGCUGUGCGCCGGCCGGCUGCCCGCCAGGGCGGUCCGACGUCCGUCCGUGGGUGAGGCCGCGAGGUCCGCUCCGAGACGGAAAUCCUGCCGCGGUGCUCUUAACCGAGUGUCGAGGUGGGCCGGCACGUUUACUUUGAACAAAUUGGAGUGCUCAAAGCAGGCCAAAUAUACGCCUGAACACUGUGCGCAUGGAAUAAUAGAAUAGGACCUCGGUUCUAUUUUGUUGGUUCUCGGAAUACCGAGGUAAUGAUUAAUAGGGACAGAUGGGGGCAUUCGUAUUGCGACGUUAGAGGUGAAAUUCUUGGAUCGUCGCAAGACGCACUAAAGCGAAAGCAUUUGCCAAAAAUGUUUUCAUUAAUCAAGAACGAAAGUUAGAGGUUCGAAGGCGAUCAGAUACCGCCCUAGUUCUAACCAUAAACUAUGCCAGCUAGCGAUCCGCCGACGUUACUUAUAUGACUCGGCGGGCAGCUUCCGGGAAACCAAAGCUUUUGGGUUCCGGGGGAAGUAUGGUUGCAAAGCUGAAACUUAAAGGAAUUGACGGAAGGGCACCACCAGGAGUGGAGCCUGCGGCUUAAUUUGACUCAACACGGGAAACCUCACCAGGCCCGGACACCGGAAGGAUUGACAGAUUGAGAGCUCUUUCUUGAUUCGGUGGGUGGUGGUGCAUGGCCGUUCUUAGUUGGUGGAGUGAUUUGUCUGGUUAAUUCCGAUAACGAACGAGACUCUAGCCUGCUAACUAGGCGUUUGAGAAUUCAAUCCGGUAUCUAUGAGGUGCGUGCACGCGAUCAGCUAUGGGCUGAGAGAGCGCCGUCGGUGGCAUGGACCGUUGUGUGGAUGCGCGUUGGUCGUGUCCGGGUGGGCGUUUAGUCCCCGGGGUCAAGUGGUUGCCUUCACGGGCUCCAUUCCCGGGUCUGCGCGUUCAUUUCGGUGCGGUCGGCCGUGUCUCGCAGCACCAUGUCAUACCGUGCGGUGUCGCUUUCGGUACCGGCCCGCGUUGCAACCGUACUUUAACUACCGGCGUAAAUCGAUUUCUUCUUAGAGGGACAGGCGGAUUGAAGCCGCACGAGAUUGAGCAAUAACAGGUCUGUGAUGCCCUUAGAUGUUUUGGGCCGCACGCGCGCUACACUGAAGGAAUCAGCGUGUUUUUUCCCUGGCUGAAAGGCUCGGGUAACCCGCUGAACCUCCUUCGUGCUAGGGAUCGGGGAUUGCAAUUAUUCCCCGUGAACGAGGAAUUCCCAGUAAGCGCGAGUCAUAAGCUCGCGUUGAUUAAGUCCCUGCCCUUUGUACACACCGCCCGUCGCUACUACCGAUUGAAUGAUUUAGUGAGGUCUUCGGACCGGUGCGCGGUGACGUUUCGGCGUAACCGAUGUUGCUGGGAAGAUGACCAAACUUGAUCAUUU
RNAcentral lists this ribosomal RNA (2254 nucleotides) under Sphaerius sp. APV-2001. Its description in RNAcentral is "SSU rRNA". It matches the Rfam family "Eukaryotic small subunit ribosomal RNA". Lineage: Eukaryota; Metazoa; Arthropoda; Insecta; Coleoptera; Sphaeriusidae. The record is from RNAcentral.